Molecule: ribosomal RNA, 253 nt
Filed under: uncultured bacterium
Lineage: Bacteria
Description: partial 16S ribosomal RNA
Rfam family: Bacterial small subunit ribosomal RNA
Source: RNAcentral
UACGGGGGGGGCAAGCGUUGUUCGGAAUUACUGGGCGUAAAGGGCUCGUAGGCGGCCAACUAAGUCGGACGUGAAAUCCCUCGGCUUAACCGGGGAACUGCGUCCGAUACUGGAUGGCUUGAGUUCGGGAGAGGGAUGCGGAAUUCUAGGUGUAGCGGUGAAAUGCGUAGAUAUCUGGAGGAACACCGGUGGCGAAGGCGGCAUCCUGGACCGACACUGACGCUGAGGAGCGAAAGCCAGGGGAGCAAACGGG